AGUCGACGCGGGCACUUGUGCCCGAGUGGCGAACGGGUGAGUAAUACAUAAGUAACCUGGCCUUUACAGGGGGAUAACUGCUGGAAACGGCAGCUAAGACCGCAUAGGUAGGGACACUGCAUGGUGACCGUAUUAAAAGUGCUGCAAGGCACUGGUAGAGGAUGGACUUAUGGCGCAUUAGCUGGUUGGUGAGGUAACGGCUCACCAAGGCGACGAUGCGUAGCCGACCUGAGAGGGUGACCGGCCACACUGGGACUGAGACACGGCCCAGACUCCUACGGGAGGCAGCAGUAGGGAAUUUUCGGCAAUGGGGGGAACCCUGACCGAGCAACGCCGCGUGAAGGAAGAAGGAAUUCGUUCUGUAAACUUCUGUUAUAAAGGAAGAAAGACGGAUGGAGGAAAUGACAUCCGAGUGACGGUACUUUAUGAGAAAGCCACGGCUAACUACGUGCCAGCAGCCGCGGUAAUACGUAGGUGGCAAGCGUUAUCCGGAAUUAUUGGGCGUAAAGAGGGAGCAGGCGGCAGCAAAGGUCUGUGGUGAAAGACUGAAGCUUAACUUCAGUAAGCCAUAGAAACCGGGCAGCUAGAGUGCAGGAGAGGAUCGUGGAAUUCCAUGUGUAGCGGUGAAAUGCGUAGAUAUAUGGAGGAACACCAGUGGCGAAGGCGACGAUCUGGCCUGCAACUGACGCUCAGUCCCGAAAGCGUGGGGAGCAAAUAGGAUUAGAUACCCUAGUAGUCCACGCCGUAAACGAUGAGUACUAAGUGUUGGAAGUCAAAUUUCAGUGCUGCAGU
RNAcentral lists this ribosomal RNA (792 nucleotides) under uncultured bacterium. RNAcentral describes it as "bacterial SSU rRNA". It matches the Rfam family "Bacterial small subunit ribosomal RNA", at positions 60 to 852 of the family's 1533-position model. The record is from RNAcentral.